GACUGCUUGGCGCAAUGGUAGCGCGUUCGACGCCAGAUCGAAAGGUUGAGUGUUCGAUCCGCUCACCGUCCA
RNAcentral lists this transfer RNA (72 nucleotides) under Caenorhabditis brenneri. RNAcentral describes it as "tRNA CBN27759". It matches the Rfam family "tRNA". From Rfam's summary of the family: Transfer RNA (tRNA) molecules are approximately 80 nucleotides in length. Their secondary structure includes four short double-helical elements and three loops (D, anti-codon, and T loops). Further hydrogen bonds mediate the characteristic L-shaped molecular structure. tRNAs have two regions of fundamental functional importance: the anti-codon, which is responsible for specific mRNA codon recognition, and the 3' end, to which the tRNAs corresponding amino acid is attached (by aminoacyl-tRNA synthetases). tRNAs cope with the degeneracy of the genetic code in two manners: having more than one tRNA (with a specific anti-codon) for a particular amino acid; and 'wobble' base-pairing, i.e. permitting non-standard base-pairing at the 3rd anti-codon position. Lineage: Eukaryota; Metazoa; Nematoda; Chromadorea; Rhabditida; Rhabditidae. The record is from Rfam by way of RNAcentral.